RNAcentral lists this ribosomal RNA (253 nucleotides) under uncultured bacterium. Its description in RNAcentral is "partial 16S ribosomal RNA". It matches the Rfam family "Bacterial small subunit ribosomal RNA", at positions 524 to 776 of the family's 1533-position model. The record is from RNAcentral.
UACGGAGGGUGCAAGCGUUAUCCGGAUUUACUGGGUUUAAAGGGUGUGUAGGCGGAUCUUUAAGUCAGUGGUGAAAUCUCCGAGCUUAACUUGGAAACUGCCAUUGAUACUAUUGAUCUUGAAUUCUGUUGAGGUAGGCGGAAUAAGUCAUGUAGCGGUGAAAUGCUUAGAUAUGACUUAGAACACCGAUUGCGAAGGCAGCUUACUAAGCAGAUAUUGACGCUGAGGCACGAAAGCGUGGGGAUCAAACAGG